AUUUCACACCACAAUAAUUUGAAGAGAAAAAAUCAGGCGAUUCGGAGAUGAUUCGGACCGUUGACGGCGAGCAAGUAGAACUGCACCGACAAAACCACUUGCCCACUUGAAUGGAACCCUUUUCUCACCAUUUGAAGAGAACAAAUCAGGCGAUUCGCACCAUUCUCCACACGAUUGAACUGGUCGGACCGUCAACGGCGAGCAAGUAGACUACUAACUACCAACAGCACGACAAGUACGAACUAUUGUAAGGGCGUCUAUCCUUUGUUAUCCUCUUUUUGUACUAAAGGAGUUCGAUCUAAAAUCCAUACAUUUCUCGAAUUUGACAGAACAACUCGCCCGUGUCUCCACCCGUUCUACAAAAUCGAUCUGGGCUUACCUUCGAUGGCGAGCACUUGUGACUGCAGACUAAAGGUUUUUCUUAAGGACUGGGACUUCGGCACAUUCCGGUAAUUUCUUCAGAACUUCGGUUACCUUCGACGACGAGCACUUUGUUGUGUUUUAAGUUGAUUUCAAUUACUGGAUUAAGAGCAGGAAUGCUUGUAUUUUUUUUGGGAUUCGUCUUUUCUUUUGCAAGAAGCACUGGUUUUUUUCAUUAUUUGAAGCAAAUGUGUUACAAUAUUGACGCCAUGAAGUUGUUCCAGAAAUGAUGAUUUGCUGGCCUAAUAAAUAGGAAACAGAUUUAGUGAAGGAACCAUUUUUCCCUCUGCAUCGUUUUUCCCUGUGCUUGUAUGAAUACUGUAUGCCAUGUUCUGUUCUGGUGAUAUAUUUGGGAAAAAUGCAG
This 784-nucleotide long non-coding RNA is filed under the name Olea europaea subsp. europaea. The record is from RNAcentral. Lineage: Eukaryota; Viridiplantae; Streptophyta; Magnoliopsida; Lamiales; Oleaceae.